Molecule: long non-coding RNA, 331 nt
Filed under: Vitis vinifera (wine grape)
Lineage: Eukaryota; Viridiplantae; Streptophyta; Magnoliopsida; Vitales; Vitaceae
Description: long non-coding RNA (VVIN_LNC007827)
Source: RNAcentral
AAAACACAAAUGUUAUCGUGUUAUUCAUGUCUUAACCAAGAAUUGAAAGACUCGGCCAAAUUACUUGUCAUCUUAUCCCAACGCAUCUUCUUAAAUUUAGAGAUUGCCCAAUGUUGAGGGUUAUUUUCUUCAACCCACUUCGCCAAAUCAUGAUUAAAUGUCCUUAAAGUAUCCAUUACAACCUCAUAAUCACAAUCUAACCUAGCAUAGGUGAUAGAAUCAAGCAUUUGCAAAGCAUUUUCCUUCCCUUUCCUCCCUUUAGUGUUCAGCUUUGUUAGAAAGCUACUGAAGUUUUCUUUAAUGUGACGAUAGCAAUGUGCAUGGUUUUCAC